AGAGUUUGAUCCUGGCUCAGGAUGAACGCUAGCGGCAGGCUUAAUACAUGCAAGUCGAGGGGCAGCAGGUCUGUAGCAAUACAGAUGCUGGCGACCGGCAAACGGGUGCGGAACACGUACGCAACUUUCCUUCAACUGAGGAAUAGCCCAGGGAAACUUGGAUUAAUACCUCGUAAUAUUAUGAAGUGGCAUCACUUUAUAAUUAUAGCUCCGGCGGUUGAAGAUGGGCGUGCGCCUGAUUAGGUAGUUGGCGGGGUAACGGCCCACCAAGCCUACGAUCAGUAACUGGUGUGAGAGCACGACCAGUCACACGGGCACUGAGACACGGGCCCGACUCCUACGGGAGGCAGCAGUAAGGAAUAUUGGGCAAUGGACGCAAGUCUGACCCAGCCAUGCCGCGUGGAGGAUGAAGGUCCUCUGGAUUGUAAACUUCUUUUAUCUGGGAAGAAAUCCAUAUUUUCUAAUGUGGUUGACGGUACCAGAUGAAUAAGCACCGGCUAACUCCGUGCCAGCAGCCGCGGUAAUACGGAGGGUGCAGGCGUUAUCCGGAUUCACUGGGUUUAAAGGGUGCGUAGGUGGGCAGGUAAGUCAGUGGUGAAAUCUCCGAGCUUAACUCGGAAACUGCCGUUGAUACUAUCUGUCUUGAAUAUCGUGGAGGUUAGCGGAAUAUGUCAUGUAGCGGUGAAAUGCUUAGAUAUGACAUAGAACACCGAUUGCGAAGGCAGCUAACUACACGAUCAUUGACACUGAGGCACGAAAGCGUGGGGAGCAAACAGGAUUAGAUACCCUAGUAGUCC
This 797-nucleotide ribosomal RNA is filed under the name uncultured bacterium. Its description in RNAcentral is "bacterial SSU rRNA". It matches the Rfam family "Bacterial small subunit ribosomal RNA", at positions 8 to 796 of the family's 1533-position model. The record is from RNAcentral.